This 1512-nucleotide ribosomal RNA is filed under the name Triticum aestivum (bread wheat). RNAcentral describes it as "partial small subunit ribosomal RNA". The record is from RNAcentral. Lineage: Eukaryota; Viridiplantae; Streptophyta; Magnoliopsida; Poales; Poaceae.
AUGGUUUUGGUUCCUAAUUGUUUCGCACAACUCAAUAUUCAGAUAAGCUCGCUAGCUCAAGUGGCAAUAGCAGGUCUUUUGGAACUGGAGCUCCUGCGUUCGAUCGCUGCCUCUAAUCCCCCUCGCGUUCGGCCGCUGCCUCACCGGUCACCAGGACGCGCCGCCGCUCGGCGCUUACCCACUCUGCCGCCUGUCCUUCUCAUCGGUAGUUCGGCGCUGACCGCCGGUGGCCGGAGGCCCGAAGCAAGCGCCGCAAGCAGCCGACCCGCCGACCCGGACCAGACGGCCACACUGCCGCUCAGGAGGAGCUCCUCUCGCCUGCGCCUCCCGUACCGACGGUCGACGCCCUCGUCUCCUCCGGCCCUCCCCGCUCCCAGUGCCAGCCGUGGCCUCGGCCUCGUGGCACGAUGGCGGAAGAGGACGUUGACUGGACACAUGUGUUUGAUCGGGUCAAAGGUUCAAUCUUUUUCAUCCUGUUUGCUCCGAAACAAGACUAGCUUGAAGAACUCAAAAUCCUGGCUGAUGAGGUCAAGACGACCAACCGGACUGCUAAUCAUGACAAGUGCACAUGGAUUGAGCCAUCUUUUCAAUGCGUCUCGGCCUUUGACACGAGAGACAUUGGAUAUGAUGGACAUUACUGUCUUAUGUGAUCACCAGGAAGAAACUAUUCAGGAAGCUAGGUUGGUUAAUGCUGUCAGGAAGUAUGGCACUGCAACGGUAGCUGGAGUUGAUUCAAGUGAAGAUACAAUUGUUCUGAGUGUUGAGAACAACAGCCUCAAGAAUUACUCAGACGAUGGCGUAUGCGCCCAAGCACACCCUGCCCUUGAGAUCUCUGCCAACACGCCAACAAAUCGCAGGCAGUGCAUGAUGGUGUCUUGGCCGUCCUAUAUGCCUAGAACGAUCUCUAUGGGUACAACCAUUUCUUCAAGGGGGAUCGGCGUGCGUGAUCCUUUGGGGUACAACAUGAAUGUAUUGGAAGUCGACAUGAGAACUGCUGAGAGCUCGUCCGGGGCGCCACUGUUCAACUCAAACGGCGAGGUCAUUGGUAUUCUGCAAGGGAGACUGAGUCGGACCCGCUCGAUCUUCGUGGCGGGGUCGCAUCUGCAUGAAUGGGUCCAAGCAGCUCAUGUAUGGCGAUACCGCAGGCAUGUGUUCCUCAGAUAUGCUUAUGUGGUGUUCACUCCCCCCUCAUCCAUGUGUUUUCUCUUCUUUUUCAGAUAUGUUGUUUGUUUGUGUCUUCAUUCUUCUUCUGGUUUGGUCUACGUUUAUAUGCCCAUCUUGUGGGGGCUGUGUUGUUUUCUGAAUGUGAGCUUAGCCAAGAGUGUUUGGUUCAGAGACAUGAUUGAAAAUGUAGCUAGAUUCGCGCACUGCUAUGUUGCUUCAUGCAUGGUCUUCACCGCCAUUAUGCACGGACACAAAAUUCGGACGCUCGGAUGGGAUUUCUGCUUUGGUAUCUGCAGUGUUCUAUAUUCAGACAUCACUGUUCAGACUUUUGAGAGAAGUAUUCGCUAA